This 90-nucleotide transfer RNA is filed under the name Penicillium olsonii. It matches the Rfam family "tRNA". From Rfam's summary of the family: Transfer RNA (tRNA) molecules are approximately 80 nucleotides in length. Their secondary structure includes four short double-helical elements and three loops (D, anti-codon, and T loops). The record is from Rfam by way of RNAcentral. Lineage: Eukaryota; Fungi; Ascomycota; Eurotiomycetes; Eurotiales; Aspergillaceae.
GGGCGUGUGACUCAGUGGUAGAGUGUUCGCUUUGCAUUGGCCUCAGGCCGCGAUUGCGAAAAGUCCGGUGUUCGAUCCACCGCUCGUCCA